Gossypium raimondii (Peruvian cotton) is the source of this 1759-nucleotide long non-coding RNA. RefSeq lists it as uncharacterized. The record is from RefSeq and is a predicted model, not a curated record. NCBI's taxonomy places the organism in Eukaryota, Viridiplantae, Streptophyta, Magnoliopsida, Malvales, Malvaceae. The transcript has 3 exons.
CAUCAGCCAAAAAUGUCCUAGGGGUUUCUUCAAGCUGGUUUUUCAUAAUUUUUGCACCAAAUCCAGAAAGUUUAAAUGCGAAGCUAGAUCGAGGAAAAGAAAAAGUUCGGGAUUAGUAGAUUUUUGUUUACGAACAAGUAUCGAGUGUUAAGAGCUCAGAGGUCGGAUUUGGUCGGAGACGCAUCACACUAUCAACCUCAAAAUCUCGGUACAUAAAGAAACUUUAUUUUGGAAAUCAAUGGCAUGUAUAAGCUAGUAAUAUAAAUGUUAAUGUGAAAUGAAUGUGUAGUUAGCCAUUGGUAUGGCUAACAAAUUUUGGUUUUAGUAUCUGAUGAGGUUAUCUUAUAAGUAUGUUAAAUCUGUCUUGAAAAUAUAUUGGAAUGAAUUGGUUGUGAUGGAUUGGUCUCGGUUUAAAAUUGCAGGGAAGAUUAGAUACUGGUAAAGGGGUUAUAUUGAAUUCAAAAAAAAAUAUAUGGUAAAAAUCUGGUAAUGCCUCAUACUCAUUUCGGUGACGAAUACGGGUAGGGGGUAUUACAUAAAAGCCAAAACUAGUGAAAACACGAGUGGAGUGAAAUUUUCUUUCCGAGUGACUUGCGAGAUUUUGUGGUGAGGUAUCUAAUUUCUGUUAUUAUUCUUUAACAUUUCUUCUUUCAGUGAAUAAUCAUGUCUCGGGAAGAAUUCUCUGCCAAUGAAUUCUCUGUCGAUGACUAUGUUUGCUUGCUGAAAUAGUCUUUUUAUGGCUUGAAACAGUCACCAAGGCAAUGGUACAAGAGGUUGGAUUGUUUUAUGACUACUCAUGAUUUCCGAAAAAAAAUUAGCUUUGAUAGUUAUGUUUAUUUUAAGAAAAAUAGUGAUGGUUCUUUUGUGUAUCUUCUUCUCCAUGCUGAUGACAUGUUGAUAGCAACCAAAGAUAAAUGAGAGAUAAGAAAGGUCAAAGCCUAGCUUAAUAAAGAAUUUAAGUUGAAUGAUUUGGGAGUAACAAAGAAGAUACUUGGGAUGGAGAUUCUCAGAGAUAGAAAAGUAUGUAAAUUGUACCUAAGUCAGAAAUGGUACAUUGAGAAAGUUCUUUACAGGUUCAAUAUGCAGAAUGCCAAGCCUGUUAGUACUCCAUUAGCAGCCCACUUCAGACUUUCAUCGGCUUUGUCUCCGCAAUCAGAUGAUGAGUUGACUACAUGUCACAUGUUCUAUAUUCUUGUGAAGUGGGAUCUCUCAUGUAUGUUAUGGUUUGCUCACGUCCAAAUUUGUCAUAUGCAGUUAGUAGAUACAUGGCAAAUCCCGGUAAAGAACAUUGGAAAAUAGUUCAGUGGAUUUUCAGAUACUUACGAUAUACUAUUGAUGUUUGCUUACAGUUUGGAAGAACUAAAGAUAGAGUUAUUGGGUAUGUUGAUUCUGAUUUUGCUGGAGACCUUGAUAAAAGACGGUCUCUCACAGUGUAUGUCUUUACACUUGGGGGUUGCGCAAUCUGUUGGAAAGUCACUUUGCAAACUACAAUUACUUUGUCAAUUACUGAAGCUGAGUACAUGACGAUUACUAAGGCUUGUAAAGAAGUUAUUUGGUUAAAGAGACUCUUUGGUGAAUUCAGUAAAGACCUUCACAUCAAUACAGUGUUUUGUGACAGGCAGAGUGUCAUAUUCCUUACGAAGGAUAAAAUGUUUCAUGAGAGAACAAAGCACAUUGAUGCUCGGUAUCAUUUUAUGCGUGAUAUUAUUGCUCGUAGUGAUAUUGUUGUGAGCAAAGUUAGUACUCAUGAAAAUCUUGC